RNAcentral lists this ribosomal RNA (877 nucleotides) under Escherichia coli. RNAcentral describes it as "partial 23S ribosomal RNA". It matches the Rfam family "Bacterial large subunit ribosomal RNA", at positions 313 to 1194 of the family's 2925-position model. The record is from RNAcentral. Lineage: Bacteria; Pseudomonadati; Pseudomonadota; Gammaproteobacteria; Enterobacterales; Enterobacteriaceae.
UGAAUCAGUGUGUGUGUUAGUGGAAGCGUCUGGAAAGGCGCGCGAUACAGGGUGACAGCCCCGUACACAAAAAUGCACAUGCUGUGAGCUCGAUGAGUAGGGCGGGACACGUGGUAUCCUGUCUGAAUAUGGGGGGACCAUCCUCCAAGGCUAAAUACUCCUGACUGACCGAUAGUGAACCAGUACCGUGAGGGAAAGGCGAAAAGAACCCCGGCGAGGGGAGUGAAAAAGAACCUGAAACCGUGUACGUACAAGCAGUGGGAGCACGCUUAGGCGUGUGACUGCGUACCUUUUGUAUAAUGGGUCAGCGACUUAUAUUCUGUAGCAAGGUUAACCGAAUAGGGGAGCCGAAGGGAAACCGAGUCUUAACUGGGCGUUAAGUUGCAGGGUAUAGACCCGAAACCCGGUGAUCUAGCCAUGGGCAGGUUGAAGGUUGGGUAACACUAACUGGAGGACCGAACCGACUAAUGUUGAAAAAUUAGCGGAUGACUUGUGGCUGGGGGUGAAAGGCCAAUCAAACCGGGAGAUAGCUGGUUCUCCCCGAAAGCUAUUUAGGUAGCGCCUCGUGAAUUCAUCUCCGGGGGUAGAGCACUGUUUCGGCAAGGGGGUCAUCCCGACUUACCAACCCGAUGCAAACUGCGAAUACCGGAGAAUGUUAUCACGGGAGACACACGGCGGGUGCUAACGUCCGUCGUGAAGAGGGAAACAACCCAGACCGCCAGCUAAGGUCCCAAAGUCAUGGUUAAGUGGGAAACGAUGUGGGAAGGCCCAGACAGCCAGGAUGUUGGCUUAGAAGCAGCCAUCAUUUAAAGAAAGCGUAAUAGCUCACUGGUCGAGUCGGCCUGCGCGGAAGAUGUAACGGGGCUAAACCAUGCAC